Molecule: non-coding RNA, 226 nt
Organism: Pelobates cultripes (western spadefoot toad)
Lineage: Eukaryota; Metazoa; Chordata; Amphibia; Anura; Pelobatidae
Source: the annotation of a GenBank genome assembly
GUUUUUGUGGUUGCACGUCUCAAAUGAGUUAAAUUUGAAUCCAGCACCAUUCCUUUCGUACAUUGAGUACAUGUGUGUUUUGAGAGCAAGAAACGCCUUCAUUAAAUAUUCACUGCGACUUGGAAUUUUACUGACAUGCCUCUAGGGCUUGGAACACUUGCUCAACAGCCCUGGCAAGUCUUGAGGUGGGUGUGUUAUUUGUGACUUUGAACUGGGACAGUAAGGU